This is a long non-coding RNA of Balaenoptera ricei (Rice's whale), 322 nucleotides long. RefSeq lists it as uncharacterized. Lineage: Eukaryota; Metazoa; Chordata; Mammalia; Artiodactyla; Balaenopteridae. The record is from RefSeq and is a predicted model, not a curated record. The transcript is spliced from 2 exons.
CCGGGCGCUGCGCUCGCUGCUUCCUGUACUGGGAACGUUGGCUCCUGUCCUGGUUGGGGGGACGUGCAGGUAGCUGUCGCUCCCGAGGAGGACGGCGCUUGCCCACCUGUCCUUGUUCAUGGAGGGAUAGAGCUGCUCAGCUAAAUAUGGAGAUGAUGAUGAUGGACCUUCCCUACAGGACUGCUGGGAAGAUGAAAUGAGAUACUUGAAAUAUAAAGUGCUUGUCAGUUUCUGGCCCCAUAAUAAACCCUCAAUAAAUGUGAGCCGCACCCGUCUGCUCGAGCUGGCUCCCCACAGGCUUUCUCAGAGCCAAUUUUUUUUU